This 68-nucleotide transfer RNA is filed under the name Dipodomys ordii (Ord's kangaroo rat). It matches the Rfam family "tRNA". From Rfam's summary of the family: Transfer RNA (tRNA) molecules are approximately 80 nucleotides in length. Their secondary structure includes four short double-helical elements and three loops (D, anti-codon, and T loops). Lineage: Eukaryota; Metazoa; Chordata; Mammalia; Rodentia; Heteromyidae. The record is from Rfam by way of RNAcentral.
GGUAGUGGCUCAGUGGUAGAGUGCUUGCCUUGUGUGCAUGAAGCCCUGGGUUCAAAUCCUCAGCACCA